RNAcentral lists this ribosomal RNA (518 nucleotides) under uncultured bacterium. RNAcentral's name for it is "partial 16S ribosomal RNA". It matches the Rfam family "Bacterial small subunit ribosomal RNA", at positions 899 to 1397 of the family's 1533-position model. The record is from RNAcentral.
ACUCAAAUGAAUUGACGGGGACUUGCACAAGCAGUGGAUUAUGUGGUUUAAUUCGACGGUAAACGAAGAACCUCACCAGGGUUUGAAACCUAGUUGAAUGCAUUGGAAACAGUGCCGUCCGCAAGGACAAUUAGGCAGGUGCUGCAUGGUCGUCGUCAGUUCGUGGCUUGAGUUGUUCCCUUCAGUGGGGAAACGAACGCAACCCUCGUUGCCUGUUACAAGUGUCAGGCGAGACUGCCCACGCUCCAGUUUGAAAACGAAAGUUUUUUAAUUGAAGCGUGGGAGGAAGGCGAGGAUGACGCCAGAUCAGCAUGGCCCUCUGAUACCCUGGGCUACACACAUAAUACAAUCGCCGCUACAACGCGACGCAAUGAGGCAACUCGGAGCAAAUCGUUAGAAAAGCGGCGCCAGUUCGGAUUGGGGUCUGCAACUCGACCCCAUGAAGCCGGAAUUGCUAGUAAUCGCAGGUCAGCUAUACUGCGGUGAAUACGUUCUCAAGUCUUGUACACACCGCCCGU